Molecule: unclassified non-coding RNA, 195 nt
Filed under: uncultured Gnomoniaceae
Lineage: Eukaryota; Fungi; Ascomycota; Sordariomycetes; Diaporthales; Gnomoniaceae
Source: RNAcentral
CUGGAAUAAACGCCCUCACAGGUGCUACCCAGAAACCCUUUGUGAAUACUGCCUAAAAUGUUGCCUCGGCAUUGGUUGGCCUCUUUGAGGUCCCUUUCCCUCGGGGAAGGAGCAGACCGGCCGGUGGCCCUAUAAACUCUUGGUUUUGUAAUAUCAUCUGAGUAAAAAACAUAAAUAAAACAAAACUUUCAACAA